This 126-nucleotide small nuclear RNA is filed under the name Chlorocebus sabaeus (green monkey). Its description in RNAcentral is "U4 spliceosomal RNA". It matches the Rfam family "U4 spliceosomal RNA". Rfam says of the family: U4 small nuclear RNA (U4 snRNA) is a component of the major U2-dependent spliceosome. The structure of U4 snRNA from yeast and human has been reported. Lineage: Eukaryota; Metazoa; Chordata; Mammalia; Primates; Cercopithecidae. The record is from Rfam by way of RNAcentral.
AGCUUUGUGCAGUGGCAGCAUUGUAACCAAUGAGGCUUAUCCAAGGCACGAUUAUUGCUAAUUAAAUAUCUUAUUUUUGUUUCCUUACAUUUAAACAGAGGAAACUGAGCUACAUGAUUUCUUCAU